RNAcentral lists this ribosomal RNA (181 nucleotides) under uncultured Lachnospiraceae bacterium. RNAcentral's name for it is "partial 16S ribosomal RNA". It matches the Rfam family "Bacterial small subunit ribosomal RNA", at positions 347 to 539 of the family's 1533-position model. Lineage: Bacteria; Bacillati; Bacillota; Clostridia; Lachnospirales; Lachnospiraceae. The record is from RNAcentral.
GGCAGCAGUGGGGAAUAUUGGGCAAUGGGGGAAACCCUGAUCCAGCGACGCCGCGUGAGUGAAGAAGUAUUUCGGUAUGUAAAGCUCUAUCAGCAGGGAAGAAAAUGACGGUACCUGACUAAGAAGCCCCGGCUAACUACGUGCCAGCAGCCGCGGUAAUACAGGAGCCAGCAGCCGCGGU